Molecule: transfer-messenger RNA, 376 nt
Filed under: Hyphomicrobiales bacterium
Lineage: Bacteria; Pseudomonadati; Pseudomonadota; Alphaproteobacteria; Hyphomicrobiales
Description: Rhizobiales bacterium transfer-messenger RNA
Rfam family: Alphaproteobacteria transfer-messenger RNA
About the family: Bacterial tmRNA, also known as 10Sa RNA or SsrA, is named for its dual tRNA and mRNA-like properties.
Source: RNAcentral
AAGCUUUUUUUUGUGGCGGAUCUUCCCUAUAUUCGGGGGGCCGGAUUCGUCCGGCUAUGGCGAUAAAUGGACGUCGGAAUAAGCCUAUCGGACCCGGGGGCAGUACCCGGCGCCUCCACCAUGUGCCGCCGCAACGAAAUCUCCAUCUUUCGGCGGCAGAUGAUGGGGGCGAACUAGGAUCGACGAGGGUGUAAAGGAUGCGCUUUUGCCCGGCAUGAUACCGCCGUUAUCGGGUCAUACAGAAUAGUUGCCAACGACAACUAUGCUGAGGCCGCUCUCGCUGCGUAAUGCAGCGCGAUACGCCUAAAUCGAAGCCCUGACGCCUAGCAGCGGCAGGCGCGGUCCGGAGGGCACCGGGCAACAGAAGCCCUCCACU